RNAcentral lists this ribosomal RNA (343 nucleotides) under uncultured bacterium. Its description in RNAcentral is "bacterial SSU rRNA". It matches the Rfam family "Bacterial small subunit ribosomal RNA", at positions 32 to 353 of the family's 1533-position model. The record is from RNAcentral.
AAUCAACGCUGGCGGCGUGCCUCAGACAUGCAAGUCGAACGCGAAAGUCCCCUUCGGGGGACAAGUAGAGUGGCGCACGGGUGAGUAACACGUAGGUAAUCUACCUUCGGAUGGGGAAUAACAAUACGGGAAACGGUUGCUAAUACCGCAUAAUGCAGCGGCACCUAAUGGUGACAGUUGUUAAAGCGGGGGAUCGCAAGAUCUCGCGCCUGAAGAGGAGCCUGCGGCGGANAGCUAGUUGGUAGGGUAAUGGCCUACCAAGGCGACGAUCCGUAGCCGGCCUGAGAGGGCGGUCGGCCACACUGACACUGACAUACGGGUCAGACUCCUACGGGAGGCAGCA